AUACGGAUCAUUGUCAGGUUCUAUAGAGGCUCCGUGGAGGAUCUCUGGCCAGCCCAGGAUCUAUAGGGAGAUCAUCAAGGCUCUAUAGGGACUGUGUGGAGCAUUUCUGGGCAGCACAGGGGCUAUAGGGAGCUCAUUUAUGUUCUGUAGGAGCUGCAUGGGGCAUCCCUGGGCAAUCUGAGAGCUAUAGGGGUCUUGUCUGGGCUCUGUAGGGGCUCUGUAGAGCAUCCUUGGGCAGUGUGGGGGCUAUAGAGAGCUCAUCCAGGCUCUAUAGGGCCUGUGGGGAGCAUCCCUAGGCAGCACAGGAUCUAUAGGAAGAGCAUCCAGGCUCUAUAGGGGCUGUGUGGAGCGUUUCUGGCAAGUGCAGGGGCUAUAGGGACCUCGCCUAAGCUCCCUAUAGGUGCUAUAGGGGCAGGGGCUGAGGCGUCCACGCGUCUGUCCACAGCCCGGCAUGACGGACGGCGACUACCUGGCGGCCUUCCUGCGCCUGCUGCUGCCGGUGGCCCUGGAGUUCCAGCCGCAGCUGGUGCUUGUCGCCGCCGGCUUCAGCGCCCUCGUCGGGGACCCCGAGGGGGGGAUGAGCGUGACGCCCGGCUGCUUCGCCCACCUCACCCACCUGCUCAUGGCCCUGGCCGGCGGCCGCCUCGUGCUCUGCCUGCAGGUGAGGGCUGCGCGGGGGCCAUAGGGGCUGCGCGGGGGGCCAUAGGGACCGCCCAGGGGCUAUUGGAGGGCGCCACGGGGCUGUACGGACCGCUCCGGGGUGACGUAUGGGAGCUAUACGGGAUACGUCUGGGCGUUAUGGGGGCCCUGCUCAUCACCCCGGGAGUUAUAGGAGCCGUGUGGGCAUACCUGGAUGCUAUAGGGGCUAUACGGAGCGCCUGUGGGUGUUACAGGGGUGGUACCUUCCUCCCGAGAGCAUCGUAGGGGCCGUACGGGCAGCCCCCAAAUCUUAUAGAGGCCAUGGGGCCCCCCCCAGGGGCAGUAUAGGUGUCUUGGGGGUGACCUGGGGGUGGUAUAGGGGAUAUAUGGGCAACACAGGGGUACUAUAGGGGUUAUAUGUGUGACCCGGGGGUGGUAUAGGGGUCCUAGGGGUGACCCAGGGGUGGUAUAGGGGCCAUAUGGGUGAUCUGGGGGCACUAUGGGGGCUAUAUGGGGGAGCUGGGGGCUGUAUAGGGGUCCUAAGGGUGACCCGGGGGUGGUAUAGGGGUCCUAGGAGUGAUCUAGGAGCAGUAUAGGGACCAUAGGAGUGAUUGGGAGGACUGUAGAGGCCAUGUGGGUGACAUAGGGGCGCUAUAGGGGUCUGAAGAGCAAUGGGGAGGUGAUACCGGAGCCAUAUAGGUAACCAGGGGGGGUUAUAGGAGCCGUAUGGGUGACCCGGGGGGACUAUAGGGGCGUUGCG
RNAcentral lists this long non-coding RNA (1399 nucleotides) under Apteryx haastii (Great spotted kiwi). RNAcentral describes it as "lncRNA (ENSAHAG00000016456.1)". The record is from RNAcentral. Lineage: Eukaryota; Metazoa; Chordata; Aves; Apterygiformes; Apterygidae.